ACCACUGAGCUAAAUAAUUUACAUUGAAUGUUGAGCUUCAAAGAGCUUUGUACAGAGUUUUGGGUAGAGAACUGUAGAUAGGGGGCGCCACUGAGCUAAAUAACUUAUUUUGAAUGUUAAGUUUUAAUUAGCUUCACAGUGUGUUUCAGGUAGAGAACUGUAGAUAGGGGGUACCACUGAGCUUUAUAAUUUUCUUUAAAUUUUGGACUUCAGUGUGCUUCACAGGGAGUGUCAGGUAGAGAACUGUAGAUAGGGGGCGCCACUGAGCUAAAUAAUUUAUAUUGAAUGUUGAGCUUCAAUGAGCUUCACAGAGAGGUUUAGGCAGAUAGCUGCAGACAGGGGGCGCCACUGAUCUUUAUAAUUUCCUUAAAAUGUUGGACUUCAAGAGCUUCACAGAGAGUUUCAGGUACAGACCUGCAGACAGGGG
Erpetoichthys calabaricus (reedfish) is the source of this 427-nucleotide long non-coding RNA. RefSeq lists it as uncharacterized. Lineage: Eukaryota; Metazoa; Chordata; Cladistia; Polypteriformes; Polypteridae. The record is from RefSeq and is a predicted model, not a curated record. The transcript is spliced from 3 exons.